This 497-nucleotide ribosomal RNA is filed under the name uncultured bacterium. RNAcentral describes it as "bacterial SSU rRNA". It matches the Rfam family "Bacterial small subunit ribosomal RNA", at positions 30 to 521 of the family's 1533-position model. The record is from RNAcentral.
AUUGAACGCUGGCGGAAUGCUUUACACAUGCAAGUCGAACGGCAGCACGGGGGCAACCCUGGUGGCGAGUGGCGAACGGGUGAGUAAUACAUCGGAACGUGCCCAGUCGUGGGGGAUAACGUAGCGAAAGCUACGCUAAUACCGCAUACGAUCUACGGAUGAAAGCGGGGGAUCGCAAGACCUCGCGCGAUUGGAGCGGCCGAUGGCAGAUUAGGUAGUUGGUGGGGUAAAGGCUCACCAAGCCUUCGAUCUGUAGCUGGUCUGAGAGGACGACCAGCCACACUGGGACUGAGACACGGCCCAGACUCCUACGGGAGGCAGCAGUGGGGAAUUUUGGACAAUGGGCGAAAGCCUGAUCCAGCCAUUCCGCGUGCAGGAUGAAGGCCCUCGGGUUGUAAACUGCUUUUGUACGGACGAAAAAGCUCCGGCUAAUACCUGGAGUCCAUGACGGUACCGUAAGAAUAAGCACCGGCUAACUACGUGCCAGCAGCCGCGGU